Molecule: unclassified non-coding RNA, 336 nt
Filed under: soil metagenome
Description: partial contains 5.8S ribosomal RNA, internal transcribed spacer 2, and large subunit ribosomal RNA
Rfam family: 5.8S ribosomal RNA (bases 1-120)
Source: RNAcentral
GAUGAAGAACGUAGCGAAAUGCGAUAAGUAGUGUGAAUUGCAGAAUUCAGUGAAUCAUCGAAUCUUUGAACGCACAUUGCGCCCCUUGGUAUUCCAUGGGGCAUGCCUGUUCGAGCGUCAUUUGUACCUUCAAGCUCUGCUUGGUGUUGGGUGUUUGUCUCGCCUCUGCGUGUAGACUCGCCUCAAAAUAAUUGGCAGCCGGCGUAUUGAUUUCGGAGCGCAGUACAUCUCGCGCUUUGCACUCAUAACGACGACGUCCAAAAGUACAUUUUUACACUCUUGACCUCGGAUCAGGUAGGGAUACCCGCUGAACUUAAGCAUAUCAAUAGCGGAGGA